CAGUAGCCGCGGGAAUACGUAGGGUGCGAGCGUUAAUCGGAAUUACUGGGCGUAAAGCGUGCGCAGGCGGUUUUGUAAGACAGGCGUGAAAUCCCCGGGCUCAACCUGGGAAUGGCGCUUGUGACUGCAAAGCUAGAGUGCGGCAGAGGGGGAUGGAAUUCCGCGUGUAGCAGUGAAAUGCGUAGAUAUGCGGAGGAACACCGAUGGCGAAGGCAAUCCCCUGGGCCUGCACUGACGCUCAUGCACGAGAGCGUGGGGAGCAAACAGGAUUAGAUACCCCCGUAGUCCCUGUCUCUUAUAC
This 301-nucleotide ribosomal RNA is filed under the name uncultured bacterium. RNAcentral's name for it is "partial 16S ribosomal RNA". It matches the Rfam family "Bacterial small subunit ribosomal RNA", at positions 509 to 807 of the family's 1533-position model. The record is from RNAcentral.